GCCUGUGACCAAAUCAGCCUGAAUGCGUCAGUUGUUAUCCGACCUCGGAAACGAAGCAAGCGUUGAGCCUGGUAACUACUUAAAUGAGAGACCACAAGCACGUGCCACGUGUUGUAGGCU
Molecule: ribosomal RNA, 120 nt
Filed under: Petromyzon marinus (sea lamprey)
Lineage: Eukaryota; Metazoa; Chordata; Hyperoartia; Petromyzontiformes; Petromyzontidae
Source: RNAcentral